This 216-nucleotide unclassified non-coding RNA is filed under the name Hevea brasiliensis (rubber tree). The record is from RNAcentral. Lineage: Eukaryota; Viridiplantae; Streptophyta; Magnoliopsida; Malpighiales; Euphorbiaceae.
GCAAAUUUUAGAUGAAUUAACAUAAAUAUACAUAUGUUUGAUAAUAUUUGGUAAGGGUACAUUUAUUGAUGGCAGAUUUCACUCAUUCCAUAAUUAAACUUUCUAAUCUCACAUGUUAUUUCUAUGUUUUUGUUGGUUGAUUAGAAAAUUCCAAUUUUGAAGUAACUUAAUUUUCUCCAUCAUCCCUACUCACUAGUUGCAUCACAUGUUGGAUCA